UUUUUCCUCCGGCUCCUUUUAUACAGACUUUUUCCCUCACUGUUCCGACCAACUUGGUACUCCCGGAAUAUUUCUCUGGUCACUUUCAUUCCCUACUGUCCACUUAGUCAGCACUUCUCUUCACUGCUUCACUGCUUCACUGCUUAACCACAGCAGACUUGCAGAAGAGAUCUACCACUACUGUUUGCCUAUUCAAGUUUGACCCUACUUCGGUUCAGAGGUUUUGAACUAUUGCUUUUCGCCGGAAAUUUUUCCGGCAACUCCUGCGCUUUUCUUUCUAUUAUCUUCUCUGCUUUUGUGGGUGUGUGUGGGUGUGUUUUUGUUUUCUUGGACAGGUGCCUAUCCUACCGGCGAGGAGGCUUUUGUGGGUGUGUUUUUGUUUUCUUGGAUAGGUGCCUAUUCUACCGGCGAGGAUUCCCGGCAAGCCACAGUAUCCUCGGUGACUCCCAUUCAGACUCGCGGCAGGACGCAAUAGAACCACACGUUCUGAUAAGCUUCAGGAGAACUUGGGCACAUCAAAGCAUACUUUCAGGUUUUCCUACCAGGAGUUGGUACCUCCCGCUCUCUUGUUCACUUUGUGCACCUUCUUACGUAUUUAGCUAACAUUUCGAGUGCGGUCUAUUCUGUUGUUAUCUAGCUUGCACCUUUUUGCGUAUUUCAUUUUAGUGUGUGCGUGCGCCACUGUUCCCCAUAGUUGGUCGGAGGGAUAGUGGCCGCGGCGGGGGAUGAUAGCGUAAGGUCAUGUCCUCGGAGGGUGGGGGUGGUGGCGGGAGUGAUUAGGGGAGCAGGGGGUGGUCUUGCGGGUAGGGCGGGAGGUAAGGGUGGGAAGAGGGUAGCGGGCGCCCAUAGAUUAAGGAUUGUGUCAUGGAACAUAGGCACUCUGACGGGUAAGUCCAUAGAGUUGGCGAAGGUUCUUCAGAGGAAGAGGGUUAACAUAGCGUGUGUCCAGG
Molecule: long non-coding RNA, 950 nt
Filed under: Nicotiana benthamiana
Lineage: Eukaryota; Viridiplantae; Streptophyta; Magnoliopsida; Solanales; Solanaceae
Description: long non-coding RNA (NBEN_LNC015268)
Source: RNAcentral